RNAcentral lists this transfer RNA (61 nucleotides) under Trioza frangulae. RNAcentral's name for it is "tRNA-Leu". Lineage: Eukaryota; Metazoa; Arthropoda; Insecta; Hemiptera; Triozidae. The record is from RNAcentral.
CUAAUGUGGCAGAAUAAAUGUGUUAGAUUUAAAAUUUAAUUAUGAAUAAUUUCCUUUAGAA